This 92-nucleotide transfer RNA is filed under the name Streptomyces sp. GS7. Its description in RNAcentral is "tRNA-Arg". The record is from RNAcentral. Lineage: Bacteria; Bacillati; Actinomycetota; Actinomycetes; Kitasatosporales; Streptomycetaceae.
GCCUAGGUGGACAGUUCGCAGGUCAGAGCUGCACUCGCCCCACCGCUCUCCUAAAGCGGGUGUCGGCAGUUCGAAUCUGCCCGGGGGCACCA